UCCACAACUGGAAGUUUUUAAGAAGAGAUUGGACAACCAUUUGUCUGAAAUAGUACAGAGUUUCCUGCUUGAGCAGGGGGCUGGACUAGAAGAUCUCUAAGAUCCCUUCAAACCCUGUUAUUUUGUUGUUCUGUCUACCCACUCCAGUCUAGAACAUUAUCUUAAAAAUAUUCGGUCAAGGAGGAAAUCAUUGUGUACAUUUCUUCUUCUCCCCAGUUAAAAGGCAAAGUUUGUCAAAAAAAAAAGACAAACAUUAUAUUGGUCAAAAGACUAGUUUUGACUUCAAAGUGCCAGUUACUUAUAUUAUAACAUAUCCAGCUGUCUAUUGGGGUGGCUUCAAAUUCCUGCAGUGAGCUAGGGUUGAACUUCAUGGCUUAAAUGUCCUUUUCAUCUCUGUAGCCACAGUGACAUGAUGUGCUUCAAUGAGCAAUGAGUGUUAGGGGCAGAGGACAAGCAAGUCAUGAAAACUGUAACAUGGAAAAAUGUUCAAUUGUUCAAGCUGUUCAAUUAGCUUAGAAGGGAAUUGAUUUAGUCUCAAAGAGGUCUAGUUUUCCCUGGUCAAACAGCUACUUAUUAAGAAGUGAUUUAAUUCUUCUCACUCUCCUGAUUGAGUUUCAUUCCAUAUUGCCUUGCAGCUCCUGAAAAUUCUCUGUACAUCAGGUAGCAAGAUAAUGUGACUGUCUUCAAGAGAAAUUUAACAAGCAUCUCUCUCUCUCUCUCUCUCUGUCCAAAUAAUCACUACCUUGUUUUUUCUCUCUGGAAACCAGAUGCAAUCAAGAAAGAAGCAGGUUUACUGUAUGCUUCUAUGAUCCUUUGUUGUGGACUAAAACAAUUGCCACCAGUGACAAAGUAUUUGUUGUGUACUGCGGCCGUAGUAAGCCAGUCAUUUUCCCAUUAGGAAUUCAAGAACAAGAAAGAGCAAAACUAUACCAAGGAAAAUGGAGAAAAAGCUAUUUUGAA
Long non-coding RNA from Crotalus tigris (Tiger rattlesnake), 960 nucleotides. RefSeq lists it as uncharacterized. The record is from RefSeq and is a predicted model, not a curated record. The transcript is spliced from 3 exons. Lineage: Eukaryota; Metazoa; Chordata; Lepidosauria; Squamata; Viperidae.